GGGAGCAAAGCAGCAGCAUCCAAAUCCUCGGUGAGAGGGAAGUGGCCGUGCACAGUUUCCCGCGAAGUCGUGUCCGCCUCCCCCCGCGACCUCGGGCGCAACCCGGACCCACCUCGCUCCCGCCGCUCGGUCAGGGACAGCGCCGCCUCUGUAGGCGAGGGAAGGAGCUGGAGCCGGAGCCGGAACCCAGGAAGGAUCCGCCCUACUACUCCAGGAUUGGUUUCUUAGGAUAAUUCUUUAUUUCCAUUGGCUACAAUGACUGCCACAACUCAAGCGACCUGGCGGGACCGCCAAUAAGCUUUGACCUCUGGCUAGCAUGCUGGGAGUUGUAGUCCUAAGGAAGCGCGUAGACUCAGAGAAAACUUGCGAAGUUUAGAAUGGAGCUGAAGAGACUGGGUUCCGUCCUAAGCCUUUGGACAGGGCCAUCAGCUUUUUCCCUGCCUUCAGACUUGAAUUAAACAUCAUCUCUUCCUUGGUGUCAAGCCUGCUGCCAUCAGACUGGAACUAAACCAUCAGCUCUCAUGGGACUCCAUCUUGCUGACUUACCCUGCAGAUCUUGGGAUUUAACCACCUCCAUAAUCAUGUGAACCAAUUCCUUCUAAUAACCACCGCCCCCCUACCCCAGUAUGUAUUGAUUCUGUUUCUCUGGAAAACCUUGACUAAUACAGGAAGUAACGGAGAACUUCUGACAAACAGAAAGAUACAGUUUCUGUUGGAUAGAACUGUGUAUUCAUCUGCAAACUGAUAACCAGUAUCUCCACGAUUAGGCCAGAUCACAUAUGUGGUGUGACUUGAAAGUGACUAGGCUUCUGCAAUACACACCCAAAAAUCAAGGUCAUUAUUUCAUCUUCACACCUAGUCUACCAGCUUCCUAUUUGAAAUCAAUACUCUCCAACCUAAGAGGCUGUUUGCUACACAAAUACUGAAGUAUUGCAGUACAAUGGUCUUGUGGGGAAAAAAAAGCUUCUACGUUGGUGGUUAAAACUGCCACUUUUUCUAGUUGGGCCUCUCUGAAUCUCAGAAAGGGUUGGCACAACAGAUUGAUUCAUAAGACAGUCACAACAGACUCAACAGACUGAGCCUCUGAAGGUCUGGGCCAAGGUCAGAGGGCAAUAUACAGCUGAGUUCUCUGCAGCUGUGCUUCCCAGCUCCCUGAUGUGCUCCUGGGGCUUUUCAGGAUUAUAGCAACUGUGUUUAAAGUCGCUGUACCUAGUUAUCAUCAACAGGCAGAUUAGCUUUUGAAAGCAUGUACAUUAGCUCUGGAUAUCACCAAACUAUGUUGUAAACAGCAUCAAGAAAACAGAAAAGGAUGGUAUGUUUUACUCAUCAGCCUUCCCCAACUCAUUCCUGAAGAAAGAGGGAAAGAGUGAGUGGUCUAAAACAUGCUUGCUUUUAGAAAGCUGACUUUGGGGGGCAGAGGUCAGAACUGAGAGAGAGAAAGAGAGAAAGGCAGUCCUCAAUGGGAUAAGUAAGAAGUCAGGGACUGGGGGCCAUAACUUCUUGACUAAAGCUUGAGGGCAGGAUGAGGCAGAGAAAGUGUCUUCUAAAUAACCCCUGGAGUAGAGAACUCUUUUCCCUGAACCUGUGCUGUAUCUUGGUAACACAUAUUCAACAUCUCCACCUACACCUAAACUGAUUGUUUGGUUUCCAGGAAUCCUCCCUCCAGGUCACUGGGAACUUCAAUUCCUUAGAAGAAAUAUAAGCUUCAGAACUGAGUCCUGGGAGAAAAGUGGUACAAAUAGAAACCACAAAAGGGUCUCAAUUUGGGUUAAGGUGAAGAGAUGUUCCAUAAUCGUGGGGUUGGGCCAGGCGACUGAAGUCCAUGGUGCUGGGCUGGAUGGUGAUGGGAGCAGGUAGUGUGGCAUAUCCCUAAAAAGAAGGAACCUUGAGCCCCUGAAGGGCUGGGCCAAGGUCAGAAGGCAAAGACAGGAUUAUAUCCUUCAGCUCUGGGGCCUUCGGGGGCAGUAAGGAAGAGUUCACCUUCAGGGACACAUCUCCAUUAGCAUGGCCUUUACCUUCUGGCUUGGGGACAAUUGAUUCCUCUGAUUUGUGUAGUUCUGAACAAAUAACUAGAGGUGCUGUGUUUUUUCCUCCAUCAUGAAGGCAAGGUUCAAAGAAAGGGCGAAGGGGGCCAGAGAAAUUAUGGGUGAAAGUAAAGAUGUGAGACUUGUCAGUCACAUUGUAGAAAGAGAUGACUCCUGCUUCAUAGUCCAGGAAAAUCCCCACACACCGUGGAGGCUCUUUAAGGCGGAAGGGGGUCUGCGGGGAUGUGAGAGCUUCAUACUCAUUCCCACGACUCUGUCGCAGAAGCCAGUGUCCAUUGGCAGGUGAGGCAGUAACCUUCCCCUUCCUGCUCACUGACUCACUACAUACCCCAAGAAUCCAUUUGGUCUUGUCUCCUACAUACACCUCCCAGUAGUGGCAGCCAGUCGUGAAGUACUCAGAGCCUAGGAUGCUGACAACGAAAUCAAAUCUCUGGGGGUUGUCAGGUACAGGCUGCCGUCUGUCUCCAAGCCUUACACAUCUUUGGUCCUCAGAAAGGAUGAGUUUGGGAUGUGCUGUGUCUGGGUCCAGGGUCACUGCCACUGCAAAGAGACACAGACAGGUGAGGCUUGGAAGCCUAGGUCUUAAGGGAUUUGGGGAUGGCUUUGGAGGGAAAAAGAAUCUUUAGGUCUGCCAUCACUGUCAUUAGCCCAUUUUAGUUCAUGGAUUCCCGCCCCUACCAUGUGUACUGGAACCAGAGAAUAUUCUUUUUCAAAGAAUAGGUCUCCUUGUCGAUUACUAAGUAAUAGAAGAAAAAGUUCUUCUUCAUCUGUCUGUGAAGCUACCUUAAUCCUUAGGAAAUAACUACCUGCUAUGAUUUAAGUGUGUCCCUCAAAAGUUCACGUGUUGGAAUCUUAAUCUCUCAUUGCUGCAGUGUUCAGAGGUAGGGCUUAGUGGGAGGUGUUUGGGUCCCUCACAAAGGGAUGAAUGCAGUUUUCACAAGACUGGGUUUAUUUCUCUAGAGAGCGGGUUAUGAUAAAGCAGGUCAGGGCACUUUGUCUCCUCUCUGCUUUUGCAGGCACUCACUUGCCCUUCUGUUCUUCCAGAAGCAACUAUCACCAUACUAUGAAGUAGCACAAGCCCUUCACCAGAUACAGUCGCCCAACCUUGGACCAUCCAGCCCCAAGAACCAUGAGCUAAAUAAACCUCUUUCCUUGAUCAAUUA
This is a long non-coding RNA of Symphalangus syndactylus (siamang), 3208 nucleotides long. RefSeq lists it as uncharacterized. The record is from RefSeq and is a predicted model, not a curated record. Lineage: Eukaryota; Metazoa; Chordata; Mammalia; Primates; Hylobatidae.